UACCAGCACCCCGAGUGGUCGGGACGAUUAUUGGGCCUAAAGCAUCCGUAGCCGGCCUUACAAGUCCCCCGUUAAAUCCAACUGCUUAACAGAUGGGCUGCGGAGGAUACUAUAAGACUAGGAGGCAGGAGAGGCAAGCGGUACUCAGUGGGUAGGGGUAAAAUCCGUCGAUCCAUUGAAGACCACCAGUGGCGAAGGCGGCUUGCCAGAAUGCGCUCGACGGUGAGGGAUGAAAGCUGGGGGAGCAAACCGG
RNAcentral lists this ribosomal RNA (253 nucleotides) under uncultured bacterium. Its description in RNAcentral is "partial 16S ribosomal RNA". It matches the Rfam family "Archaeal small subunit ribosomal RNA", at positions 474 to 727 of the family's 1478-position model. The record is from RNAcentral.